Long non-coding RNA from Cairina moschata (Muscovy duck), 1966 nucleotides. The record is from Ensembl. Lineage: Eukaryota; Metazoa; Chordata; Aves; Anseriformes; Anatidae.
AUGUCCUGGCUCCCUAGGAGGUUGGGGACAGCUUGGGGACAGAGCUGUGCGCAGCGGGGCUGGCCGUGGGGGCACCGCGGGGUCCCCGCCUUGUCCCGGGCUGGAUCUGGCCAAAGGAGCCCAGGAGCGGCCGGGGUGGGGGCAGCUGGGGGUGGGCGCCCGGGGUGGGUGUGCACACGGGGGGGGUGUGUGUGUGCAGGGGGUGUGCCCGGACACUUCUCGCCGUGUUUUGGCGGAGCUCGGCUCCUUCCCUCCUUUGUUAUCCCCCGUCUGCCCCCUCCGGUGUGUGUGUGUGUGCGUGUGCGCGAGUUCGUUCUCCGAUUGUCAGAGAUUUCUUUUCCACUGUGUGGGCAGGAGACAGAUUUUAACUGUCUCUAUUUUCUUUCUAUUUUUUUUUUAAAUAAUUUCUCCUUCUCUCCCCCUUCCCUCUCGCCUUCCUCCCUUCCCCGCUCCUCUCCCUCCUCCCUCCCCUCCCCGCGGCUCCCCCCCUGCCAUCUCCGCGAUGCCUCCGGAAUAGCUCGGGCAGCCGGAGCCAUGCCUCCCGCCCCAGAGUGAUGAGCUGCACCGGCCCCGAGGAUGCUCGGACUCGGCGCGUGCUCCGUCAGCGCCCCGGGCAGGGGGGCUGAGCUGGCCGCCCCCCCCCGCUACGUCCUGGCCCUGCCCGAGGAGGAGACGUGGCGCAAGCACCGGCUCGGCCUGAUGCAGAGCACCCAGUCCUGCAACCUGCUGGAGCCCCAGAGCCUGGCCGAGGCGCUGGUGUCGCGCGCCGCCAGCUUCGACGCCCUCUACCAGCCCCGCGAUGCCGACGGCGACGGUGGCAGCGCCCUGGACCUGGGGCAGUUCGUCCCCGUCAGCCCGGACGUCAUCAAGCGCCGUCGGGGCGGGCUGAUCGAGCAGAGGGACAUCAUCAAGGCGCACGAGGCGCACAAGAUGCAGAGCACGCCGCAGGCACGGAGGAAGGAGUGGGAGUAAGUAGGGGCCGGGGCCACAAGGGCGGGCAGGGGGCGGCGGGCGCGGCGGUGUCAGCGCCGUGGGGCGGUCAGCAUGGCGGUGCUCGACCUGCAGCAUGUCCAGGAUGGGUUUUUGGGGUGUUUGUGGGGUGUGUGUGAGAGAUGGGGAGGGAUAAUGUGGUGCUCCUUGUGGUGGUUGUUGGCUGGGGGUGUCUCUUGGUGGGUGCAUCUGAUGGGAACGGUGCGAGGGAGCCUCGGCAGGUGAGGGGCUCCCUAGGUGGAGAGCCUGGGGCAAGUUGUCUUGGAUGUCCUAUAUCUCCAUGGAUGUCCUAUAUAUCUGAAAAAUGAUGUCAUUCAACCAAACGGGACCUGGGUGGCUGCUGAGGUCCCUGCUGUGAGCUUUGGGCUGGGACAUCUCCAUCCCCACCUGCCCCUGGUGCCACAGUGGCUCUGCCACCCAGCAGGCGGCCCGGCCAGGUCCCCUGUGCGUGCCGGGUCCUGGUGGGAUGGAGCUCCCCUCGCAAUGUGUUUGGGGUCAUCGCCUUCUGCUUUUGCUGUGGCUUGAGCCCCGCUGCAAGAGGGCUUGCACUUCAUCCUGAGAGGUGGCCGAGUGCCCCUGACUCAGAGCCAGCCGGGGAUGUUAAUGAGCCUGGGAGACAAGGAUCAAAGUGCUGGGCAGAGCUAGUGCCUGCUCCAGCUUUUUUACUCAUUACUUUCCUUUAAUUAACUCCCUCCCGUGGUUUGCCUUGGAGCUGGGUGUUUCUCACGACACCGAGCCUGGGGUCACGCUCCCUUGCCCAGCAUCUGCUGCACGAGCCGGGCUGCAGCCACGUGCUGCGACCCCGCAUUUAAUUGCAAGGGUGUUCCCCGUCUGUGCCUGCUCAGCAAAAAAAAAAAAAAAAACAGCCAGGGAUGAGCUGCUGCCCAAUAUCCUGCUCUGCCACUGCCAGGUUUUGUGAUAAAAUCAAGGCUGCUCCCAGCCAGCUGUGCCUUCUCUUGUGGCCAGCACUUUUUUG